RNAcentral lists this ribosomal RNA (717 nucleotides) under uncultured Neisseriales bacterium. Its description in RNAcentral is "bacterial SSU rRNA". It matches the Rfam family "Bacterial small subunit ribosomal RNA", at positions 65 to 769 of the family's 1533-position model. Lineage: Bacteria; Pseudomonadati; Pseudomonadota; Betaproteobacteria; Neisseriales. The record is from RNAcentral.
AACGGCAGCGAGGAGAAGCUUGCUUCUCUGUCGGCGAGUGGCGAACGGGUGAGUAUAGCAUCGGAACGUGCCAAGUAGUGGGGGAUAACCAAACGAAAGUUUGGCUAAUACCGCGUAAGCUCCAAGGAGGAAAGUAGGGGACCUAAUAAGGCCUUACGCUAUUUGACCGGCCGAUGUCGGAUUAGCUAGUUGGUGGGGUAAUGGCUCACCAAGGCAAUGAUCCGUAGCGGGUCUGAGAGGACGAUCCGCCACACUGGGACUGAGACACGGCCCAGACUCCUACGGGAGGCAGCAGUGGGGAAUUUUGGACAAUGGGGGAAACCCUGAUCCAGCCAUGCCGCGUGUAUGAAGAAGGCCUUAGGGUUGUAAAGUACUUUUGUUAGGGAAGAAAAGCUAGUUUUUAAUAAAAAUUAGUGAUGACGGUACCUAAAGAAUAAGCACCGGCUAACUACGUGCCAGCAGCCGCGGUAAUACGUAGGGUGCAAGCGUUAAUCGGAAUUAUUGGGCGUAAAGCGAGUGCAGACGGUUACUUAAGCCAGAUGUGAAAUCCCCAAGCUUAACUUGGGACGUGCAUUUGGAACUGGGUGACUAGAGUGUGUCAGAGGGAGGUAGAAUUCCACAUGUAGCGGUGGAAUGCGUAGAGAUGUGGAGGAAUACCGAUGGCGAAGGCAGCCUCCUGGGAUAACACUGACGUUGAGGCUCGAAAGCGUGGGGAGC